This 950-nucleotide ribosomal RNA is filed under the name uncultured bacterium. RNAcentral describes it as "bacterial SSU rRNA". It matches the Rfam family "Bacterial small subunit ribosomal RNA", at positions 34 to 982 of the family's 1533-position model. The record is from RNAcentral.
CNNCNNGGCGGCGGGCUAACACAUGCAGUCGAGCGGUAGAGAGAAGCUUGCUUCUCUUGAGAGCGGCGGACGGGUGAGUAAUGCCUAGGAAUCUGCCUAGUGGUGGGGAUAACGUUCGGAAACGGACGCUAAUACCGCAUACGUCCUACGGGAGAAAGCGGGGGAUCUUCGGACCUCGCGCCAUUAGAUGAGCCUAGGUCGGAUUAGCUAGUUGGUGAGGUAAUGGCUCACCAAGGCGACGAUCCGUAACUGGUCUGAGAGGAUGAUCAGUCACACUGGAACUGAGACACGGUCCAGACUCCUACGGGAGGCAGCAGUGGGGAAUAUUGGACAAUGGGCGAAAGCCUGAUCCAGCCAUGCCGCGUGUGUGAAGAAGGUCUUCGGAUUGUAAAGCACUUUAAGUUGGGAGGAAGGGCAGUAACCUAAUACGUUAUUGUUUUGACGUUACCGACAGAAUAAGCACCGGCUAACUUCGUGCCAGCAGCCGCGGUAAUACGAAGGGUGCAAGCGUUAAUCGGAAUUACUGGGCGUAAAGCGCGCGUAGGUGGUUCAGUAAGUUGGAAGUGAAAUCCCCGGGCUCAACCUGGGAACUGCUUUCAAAACUGCUGAGCUAGAGUACGGUAGAGGGUGGUGGAAUUUCCUGUGUAGCGGUGAAAUGCGUAGAUAUAGGAAGGAACACCAGUGGCGAAGGCGACCACCUGGACUGAUACUGACACUGAGGUGCGAAAGCGUGGGGAGCAAACAGGAUUAGAUACCCUGGUAGUCCACGCCGUAAACGAUGUCAACUAGCCGUUGGGAGUCUUGAACUCUUAGUGGCGCAGCUAACGCAUUAAGUUGACCGCCUGGGGAGUACGGCCGCAAGGUUAAAACUCAAAUGAAUUGACGGGGGCCCGCACAAGCGGUGGAGCAUGGUGGUUUAAUUCGAAGCACGCGAGANCUUACCUGGCUUG